GACGAACGCUGGCGGCGUGCUUAACACAUGCAAGUCGAACGAAGAGCGACGGAAGCUUGCUUCUAUCAAUCUUAGUGGCGAACGGGUGAGUAACGCGUAAUCAACCUGCCCUUCAGAGGGGGACAACAGUUGGAAACGACUGCUAAUACCGCAUACGAUCUAAUCUCGGCAUCGAGGAUGGAUGAAAGGUGGCCUCUACAUGUAAGCUAUCACUGAAGGAGGGGAUUGCGUCUGAUUAGCUAGUUGGAGGGGUAACGGCCCACCAAGGCGAUGAUCAGUGGCCGGUCUGAGAGGAUGAACGGCCACAUUGGGACUGAGACACGGCCCAGACUCCUACGGGAGGCAGCAGUGGGGAAUCUUCCGCAAUGGACGAAAGUCUGACGGAGCAACGCCGCGUGAGUGAUGACGGCCUUCGGGUUGUAAAGCUCUGUUAAUCGGGACGAAAGGCCUUCUUGCGAAUAGUGAGAAGGAUUGACGGUACCGGAAUAGAAAGCCACGGCUAACUACGUG
RNAcentral lists this ribosomal RNA (510 nucleotides) under uncultured bacterium. RNAcentral's name for it is "partial 16S ribosomal RNA". It matches the Rfam family "Bacterial small subunit ribosomal RNA", at positions 28 to 507 of the family's 1533-position model. The record is from RNAcentral.